GCAUGAUUGCUAAUGAGGCAACUCUCUACAAGAGACUUAAGGAAGAAAUAAAAAGAUAUAUGUCACUGUACAGCCUAAAAAUUAGCAAAGCCCAUACCAUAAUCAGUAUGCAAUGUCAUUUUGUAAUUUAAGAUUGUAAGAAGAAAAUUUUCGGAAUUUUUUAUGUGUGGUGAACAUUUUCAAUGAUCUAUGGACCAGGUUAGCUG
Molecule: long non-coding RNA, 206 nt
Filed under: Mytilus galloprovincialis (Mediterranean mussel)
Lineage: Eukaryota; Metazoa; Mollusca; Bivalvia; Mytilida; Mytilidae
Source: RNAcentral